This 446-nucleotide long non-coding RNA is filed under the name Mytilus galloprovincialis (Mediterranean mussel). The record is from RNAcentral. Lineage: Eukaryota; Metazoa; Mollusca; Bivalvia; Mytilida; Mytilidae.
UGCUGUUAUAAUUUUUAUUGAACUUAAAUCACAUAUCAGUGUCACCAAACGCAUAUACAAAAGAACUAAGUGCAUGGUACGGGACGAAUAACUGGACACUUUAUUGGGGGUCUCAUUGGGGGGUUCCGAUCCGGAUCCUGCUUUCUGUUUUGUCACAUUCCCGUAUCCCGCUUACACUAUGUACGUAAGCAAUUCUCAUUUUUUUUUUGGCAUUUCCCGUGUCCCGCUAGACCUCAUUUCCCGUUUUCACGACACAAUAAUUUGACUUUCACGUGUCACGCUUACAAAAAAUCGGCAGUCCCCCGUCACGCUUAGAACCCAAUGAGACCUACUUUAUUGGUGGGUUUAUCCUUAAACUCCUGUCUAUAGAUGGACUGGUCUUAAAUGAGCGGACUUCUUAACCCCCGCCCAGUCAAGUUAAAUAAAUCUAAUAAUACGUAUAGAUU